GGUCGCUCAAGGGUUUGAUGAAGACAGUUCAUAUUUCAAAUAGAUUGCUGAACCCUUAAGGUGGAGGAGAUAUUUAGGAAGGCUAUUCCUGUAAGUAGGGACCCAAUGGGGGCAUGGUUGCAGUAAUGCAGGAAAGAGACAAAAGGGGUCAGAGUCGGGAUAUGGGACAAGAUACAGAGGGGCAUUUAGGAGCCCACUCAGGAAGACCCCAUCAACUGGUUGGAUGUAAAGCUGAGGAAGUAGAGACGGGUACAGCGAUUACAUUCUGUAAUGUAAUGGGCGCUGGAUGGGAAGAGGAGAGAGGUGGGUGAUGGGGUGGGGCUGGUGAAGUGGAGCUAGUGGGGUGGGGACUAGGUAGGGCUGAGCUGGGUAUGGGGAAAAGGAAGCUCUUGUUUUGUUGUAUUUUGGGGAUUGUUUAGAACAGGAGGGCGCUUGACACAUUUAGGGACUGAGCGGGGAAGAAACAAGUAGAGUGUGAUAAAUUGAAGGUGCAGGAGAAAGAUGAAGAGGCACGAUCCUAAGAGGACUGGAGGAGGCUCAGAUGAAAGGCAGCAAUGCAGCUAAAAUGUUCCCACAAACGUUCAGGUACAGGGGAGCUGUCAAGAUCAGCGUGCCACGGAGGCAAAACAAGGAACUUGGAAGAGCCAUAAACUGCACACCACCCCCUCCUCAAAUAACCCCAGGCUUAGCAAAGGAGCCUCUGCAAGCAGAGAUGGAGUUUGUAAGGAUUAAAUUUCCUCCUCCCACAAGCCCCCAAUUGCAAAAAGCCAAACUUUCUGGGUUCUUCCUACCAAACGACUCCCUUCUGACCACCAGAGGUCAGGCUGCAGUUAGGAACAGGCAGUAGGUCCCCAAAGGAGAGAUCUGACCUAGUUCCUCCCAGGCCCUCCGGGGCACGUCUGGAGCUCCCCCAGACUCACCCAAGCUCGCCCAGCAGGGGCCUGUGGAUUCCUUUCUCCUCUGUAAUGGACAGGGGCAGGCACACCAGAAGCUGCCUGGAGUGUGAUAAACCGAAGGUACGAAGAAAGAUGAAGAGACAACAUUUAAGAGGGCUGGAGGAGGCGCAGCGGAGGAGAAUGAGCCUCCUGAAUGAGUCAUCCCCCACUUCAACUUAUUAGGUUUGAGAACCACUCACCUAAGAAUCCCGCGAAGCAGGGAGCUGAUUAAAAAGCAGAUUUGGCUGGGCACGGUGGCUCACGCCUGUAAUCUCAGCACUUUGGGAGGCCGAGACGGGUGGAUCACGAGGUCGGGAGAUCGAGACCAUCCUGGCUAACACGGUGAAACCCCAUCUCUACUAAAAAUACAAAAAAAUUGGCCAGGCGUGGCGGCGGGCGCCUGUAGCUCCAGCUACUCGGGAGGCUGAGGCAGGAGAAUGGCGUGAACCCGGGAGGCGGAGCUUGCAGUGAGCCGAGAUGGCG
RNAcentral lists this long non-coding RNA (1418 nucleotides) under Homo sapiens (human). RNAcentral's name for it is "HSALNT0376967". The record is from RNAcentral. Lineage: Eukaryota; Metazoa; Chordata; Mammalia; Primates; Hominidae.